AGGUCCGAACCAGUAUCUGUUGAAAAAGAUUUGGAUGAACUGUGGAUAGGGGUGAAAGGCCAAUCAAACUUGGAGAUAUCUUGUUCUCUUCGAAAUAACUUUAGGGUUAGCCUCGACUUUGAGACUCAUAGGGGUAGAGCACUGGAUUCCCGCGGGGGCCUACCGGCCUACCAACGGAAACCAAACUCCGAAUACUAUGAGUUAAGUCGGGAGAUAGACAGUGGGGGAUAAGCUUCAUUGUCGAAAGGGGAACAGCCCAGAUCGCCGAUUAAGGCCCCUAAUUCUAUGCUAAGUGAGUAAGGAUGUGAAGUUUCAUAGACAGUUGGAAUGUUGGCUUAGAGGCAGCCAUCAUUUAAAGAGUGCGUAAUAGCUCACCAAUCGAGAGACUUUGCGCCGAUAAUGAUCGGGACUAAAGCAUAGAGCCGAAAUCGCGGGUGUGCCACUUUGUGGUACGCGGUAGGAGAGCGUAGUAUGUGCGAUGAAGAUAUACCGUGAGGAGUGUUGGAGCGCAUACUAGUGAGGAUGCAUGGCAUAAGUACACGAUAAAGGGAGUGAGAAUCUCCCUCGCCGAAAACCUAAGGUUUCCAGGGUAAAGCUCGUCUUCCCUGGGUUAGCCGGUCCCUAAGCUGAGGCUGAAAAGCGUAAGCGAUGGAAAGCAGGUUAAAUAUUCCUGCGCCACCUAAAACUAUAACAAUGGGGUGACGGAGUAAGUUAAGCACGCGGGCUAUUGGAUGUCCGUUUUUGUAUGAGGCUGGUCAGUAGGUAAAUCCGCUGACGGAAAGCUAGGUAUGAGACAAGGGGAAUCUUCGGAGGAACCGAUGGUGUAGCGCAAUGCUUCCAAGAAAUAACCUCUAGUUGUUGAUGGUGACCGUACCAAAACCGACACAGGUAGGUGGGAUGAAUAUUCUCAGGCGCGCGAGAGAACUCUCGUUAAGGAACUCGGCAAAUUGUCCUCGUAACUUCGGGAGAAGAGGAGCCCUUGGACGUGAUACCUUCGCGGUUAAGCGUUUGGGGGCCGCAGAGAAUCGGCCCAGGCGACUGUUUAGCAAAAACACAGCACUAUGCAAACUCGUUUAAGAGGAAGUAUAUGGUGUGAUGCCUGCCCAAUGCCAAAAGGUCAAUAGGAGAUGUCAGUCCUUCGGGACGAAGCAUUGAAUUUAAGCCCUGGUGAAUGGCGGCCGUAACGAUAACGGUCCUAAGGUAGCGAAAUUCCUUGUCGGGUAAGUUCCGACCUGCACGAAUGGCGUAACGAUCUGGGCACUGUCUCAACGAGAGACUCGGUGAAAUUGUAGUAGCGGUGAAGAUGCCGUUUACCCGCAGCUAGACGGAAAGACCCCGUGAACCUUUACUGUACUCUGAUAUUGGCUUUUGACUUGUCAUGUGUAGGAUAACCGGGAGACGGUGAAGGAGGCUCGUUAGGGCUUCUGGAGUCAUCCUUGAAAUACCGGUCUUGACAUGUCGGAAAUCUAACGUUGCCCCAUGAAUCUGGGGGACGAACAUUGUCAGACGGGCAGUUUGACUGGGGCGGUUUCCUCCCAAAAAGUAACGGAGGAGUCCAAAGCUUGUCUCAUCGUGGUUGGCAAUCACGAGUAGAGCGCAAAAGUAUAAGACAAGUUGACUGCGAGACCAGCGAGUCGAGCAGGUACGAAAGUAGGGUUUAGUGAUCCGGCGGUGGAAAGUGGAAUCGCCGUCGCUUAACGGAUAAAAGGUACUCCGGGGAUAACAGGCUUAUCGCCACCAAGAGUUCAUAUCGACGUGGCGGUUUGGCACCUCGAUGUCGGCUCAUCGCAUCCUGGGGCUGAAGAAGGUCCCAAGGGUUUGGCUGUUCGCCAAUUAAAGCGGUACGCGAGCUGGGUUCAAAACGUCGUGAGACAGUUUGGUCCCUAUCUGCUGUGGGCGUAGGAUACUUGAGAAGAGCUGCUUCUAGUACGAGAGGACCGAAGUGGACGGACCAAUGGUGUUCCGGUUGUCCUGCCAAGGGCAUCGCCGGGUAGCUAAGUUCGGAAAGGAUAAGCGUUGAAAGCAUCUAAACGCCAAGCCCCCUUCAAGAUAAAGUAUCCCUAUGAGAUGACCUGAAGACGACAGGGUUGA
RNAcentral lists this ribosomal RNA (2091 nucleotides) under Xenoturbella bocki. RNAcentral describes it as "bacterial LSU rRNA". It matches the Rfam family "Bacterial large subunit ribosomal RNA", at positions 770 to 2856 of the family's 2925-position model. The record is from RNAcentral. Lineage: Eukaryota; Metazoa; Xenacoelomorpha; Xenoturbellidae.